UACAGAGGGUGCGAGCGUUAAUCGGAUUUACUGGGCGUAAAGGGCGCGUAGGCGGUGAUGUGAGUGUGAUGUGAAAGCCCCGGGCUUAACCUGGGAAGUGCAUCGCAAACGACAUGACUGGAGUAGAUGAGAGGGUGGCGGAAUUUCCGGUGUAGCGGUGAAAUGCGUAGAGAUCGGAAGGAACGUCAAUGGCGAAGGCAGCCACCUGGCAUCAUACUGACGCUGAGGCGCGAAAGCGUGGGGAGCGAAC
This 250-nucleotide ribosomal RNA is filed under the name uncultured bacterium. RNAcentral's name for it is "partial 16S ribosomal RNA". It matches the Rfam family "Bacterial small subunit ribosomal RNA", at positions 524 to 773 of the family's 1533-position model. The record is from RNAcentral.